RNAcentral lists this ribosomal RNA (252 nucleotides) under uncultured bacterium. RNAcentral describes it as "partial 16S ribosomal RNA". It matches the Rfam family "Bacterial small subunit ribosomal RNA", at positions 524 to 776 of the family's 1533-position model. The record is from RNAcentral.
UACGGAGGAUGCGAGCGUUAUCCGGAUUUAUUGGGUUUAAAGGGUGCGUAGGCGGGCUUUUAAGUCAGCGGUAAAAAUUCGGGGCUCAACCCCGUCCGGCCAUUGAAACUGGGGGUCUUGAGUGGGCGAGAAGAAGGCGGAAUGCGUGGUGUAGCGGUGAAAUGCAUAGAUAUCACGCAGAACCCCGAUUGCGAAGGCAGCCUUCCGGCGCCCUACUGACGCUGAGGCACGAAAGUGCGGGGAUCGAACAGG